Long non-coding RNA from Rhincodon typus (whale shark), 626 nucleotides. RefSeq lists it as uncharacterized. The record is from RefSeq and is a predicted model, not a curated record. Lineage: Eukaryota; Metazoa; Chordata; Chondrichthyes; Orectolobiformes; Rhincodontidae. The transcript has 3 exons.
CACUGAUGAAUUAUGAGAUGGAAUACUGCCCACCUGCUUGGAUGAGUGCAGUUCCAACAACAUUCAAGAAGCUUGACAUCAUCCUUGACACACAUGGCUUCAACAUGGCAGCACAGGCAAGCAGGCAGCGCUUGGGCUCCUGAGCCCAUCCGCUAAGAACUGGCCGUUUCCUCCUUUCUUUCAUUACCCCUUUAGCCUUCUUUCUUUUUCUUCAUUUUCCUGUUGACAGUGGUGAAGGUGACAUCACAGAGGAGCAUGGCUGGAAUGGAACUCUAGGUGAAGUGCCAGUGGCCUAGCAUGGCAGUGGACUCCCGGUUGUGGUAGACCUAGAGCGGAGACUCCAGGUGUCGGUUGCAGUGAUGGUGGUGUGAUCGAGUCAUGAUCAUCAGGACAAUGUUAUACCCUCCAGAUGAGAUGAUACAGGUUCCAAACUCAACAUCUGAACAUCUUUUCCUGCUGUAGUGUUGCCUCUCUCAGGAGAGUGAAAUUAGUUGGAGGUGUGUUCCUUCAAAUGCUGCAAUUUAGCAGCAAAGCUAUUGGUACAAUGGAACUAAAAGCUGAGAGUUCUCCAUGCUUAUCACAAUAUAUGAAAUGAAGAUCUGCAAGUAAUUGAGUAUUUCAAAGAU